GGCCUUCCUCUCUCAAAUGCGGUGUCCUCCCCGCGCCCAGCGCUCGCUUCGUGCUGGAUCUAGGAUCGGGCGCGUGACCUCACCAGGCAUGUGACCGUGGUGCCACGUGACUCCGACCCGGCUCCAACAAGCCUGACCUUGUAAAUCGCGGCCAGAGGCGGAAAGUGGGCGGUGGCUCGGGGUAGGGGAGGUGGAACCGGAGAAGCCUACCGCUGAGGAAUCAGGAGGCGGGGCCGUGCGGCCGGUGCUCAGGCGAAUGGGAUUCGUCCUUCCGGGUACAUGAGCGAUGGGGUCUCUUAGCAGCCAGUUGGGCUGCCUCCAAAGGUUAAGAAGAGUUUGAACCCACAGAAGUGCGGCUUGUCGUCGGAGGACCGCGGACUGAGGCGGCGGCGCGGUGGAGAUAACUCACUCUUAGUAAUACGUGAAUGUCAUGGGGCAUCCUUGACGGUCGGGAGAUGACUAGUCCCACCCGAGAGGAGUAUUUCCACGGGAACCUUUUUUUGUGGGAUUAGAUAGUAAUUGAAAUCCUGGCCUUUUUAAUUUUGGGGCGCCUCUACGCCACUAUUCUAAAGGAGGAUGGAAGUGAAGCUUAAUUAGGAGUCUUCCUAGCAGCUAAGAUCUCAACUUGGCCAGAGUUCAGCCUGUGAGACAGAAUCAGGAGCCAGUGAUUGCCAAGAGGCUACUGGUGUGCCCUCGAGAAUCUGCUGGUGGUGAGAGCAGCUGCAGCCUUGGCGAAGUGGACCCUCGGGAAGCCGUGGGAAAGUGCUGGAGCUCCCUGGGAGAAUGAUUUGAUGGUGCUCAAGCAACUUCUAAAAGUGAACCACAACAUCUAGAGUGAACCCUAAUGUAAACUAUGGACUCUGAGUGAUGAUGAUGUGUCAAUGUAGGUUCAUCAAAUGUCCCACUCUGGUGGGAGAAGCUGAUAGUGAACUUGGCUGUGCGUGUGUGGGGGCAGGGGGCAUAGGGAACUCUGUACUUCCAUCUCAAUUUUGCUGUGAACCUAAAACUGCUCUAAAAAAAGGAAGUAUAUUUUUAAAAAAUGAACCAUA
This is a long non-coding RNA of Pteronotus mesoamericanus, 1049 nucleotides long. RefSeq lists it as uncharacterized. NCBI's taxonomy places the organism in Eukaryota, Metazoa, Chordata, Mammalia, Chiroptera, Mormoopidae. The record is from RefSeq and is a predicted model, not a curated record. The transcript is spliced from 3 exons.